RNAcentral lists this ribosomal RNA (440 nucleotides) under uncultured bacterium. RNAcentral describes it as "partial 16S ribosomal RNA". It matches the Rfam family "Bacterial small subunit ribosomal RNA", at positions 339 to 795 of the family's 1533-position model. The record is from RNAcentral.
CUACGGGCCGCUGCAGUGAGGAAUAUUGCACAAUGGGGGGAACCCUGAUGCAGCAACGCCGCGUGGAGGGUGACGCAUUUCGGUGUGUAAACUCCUUUUAUAUGUCAAGAAAAUGACGGUAGCAUAUGAAUAAGCACCGGCUAACUCCGUGCCAGCAGCCGCGGUAGAUACGGAGGGUGCAAGCGUUACUCGGAAUCGCUGGGCGUAAAGGACGCGUAGGCGGGUUGGAAAGUCAGGUGUGACAUCCUACAGCUUAACUGUAGAACUGCACUUGAAACUUCUAAUCUAGAGUAUGGGAGGGGGAGAUGGAAUUAGUGGUGUAGGGGUAAAAUCCGUAGAUAUCACUAGGAAUACCUAAAGCGAAGGCGAUCUCCUGGAACAUUACUGACGCUAAGGCGUGAAAGCGUGGGGAGCAAACAGGAUUAGAUACCCCAGUAGUC